This is a long non-coding RNA of Anguilla rostrata (American eel), 1205 nucleotides long. RefSeq lists it as uncharacterized. The transcript is spliced from 2 exons. Lineage: Eukaryota; Metazoa; Chordata; Actinopteri; Anguilliformes; Anguillidae. The record is from RefSeq and is a predicted model, not a curated record.
GAGACCAGGAGCGAACACCCAGAGCACAGUUAUGAUUUCCAGUCCGUUCCGGUUUGUUUUUGUUUGAGCACUAGUCAAAUUAAGUAAUCCUCAGCUGAAAAGUUGGAGGAGCUGGACCUGGCCGGGAAGGCAGGUGGUCAUCAUCAGAAUCCUGCACUUAACAGAUGAGCAGGGCUUGCUACAGCAUCCUACAGCAUGUUUGUCUCUCUUCAAACAUCUCCUGAUAAGCAAAGAUAGAUCAACCCAAAGUCUCCAGUGUGAAAACGCAGAGGAGAAUUAGGAUACAUUCAGACAGCUGACCUUAAUGCUCAAUUCUGAUUUGUUGCUCAAAUCCCAUUGUUUUAGACUGGCUCUUCAUUUUUGAAAGUGACCCAGAAAUGCGUAGCAUAAACAUUACUUUGCCAGUGUACCUGCAACAUUUCUAACGUGAUGCCCCCAAAUGUUCGCUGGCUUCGUGCCGAAGGAGAUGGAACAGACUCCAGAACAAACCAUCUGCUCUCAAUCAUGUAAAGGUCAAACGUGCACAUGAAUUUGCACACCAUUUUGUGUCGGAACCACCGUAGGAAAGGGGAUAGAGCAUUUGGUAUGUGGAGCCGGCAUCAGCACAGUACAGAUUUCCAUCUGAUUUUAAUAAAUUGCAUCCAUACCUCUUCCCAGAAUGCACCCUUUGUUUGGGAACGCUUAAAAUGCAAGGAUUUCCGCGGGGUCCGCAUAUUUUAUUCAAUGCAUUUGUCCUGAAUGAGGUAUAUGCCGCUUUUCUGAAAUGGGUUUUUGUUUCUCACCAAGCUUAAUCCUGCUGUCCAUCCCGCCAAAGGUGCUUUUCAAUAGGAUAGGGGAAAAUGGAAUUAUUUAGCAGAGAUUUCUCUGCCAGAACGCUGACGGUGUCAUUUUUCCAUUUGCAAGCUGACAGAAUAAAAAAGGCUGAAGCUCGGAUAACAGGAGCAGAUGCAUUUGUAAGUGUUUCCAUCUGAGUCUGGUUACUCAUACCUGACGCUUCAGGAACAUCCUCUGCUUCAGUAUGGAGACUGAGUGGCUCAGAAGCGUUAAUAAUUUUUAACAGCAUAAACACAGCAUAAUGCAGCUUCAGCACAGAGCUCUCAAAGGAAUGCAAGUAUGGACACAAAAUAAUAAAAAGAGGCCAACAGCACAGACCAUUUAAUUUAUUUAUCUCUCAAUUGUGAGGCCUGAGGAUGAAUGGUCUCAUU